GAUGAACGCUGGCGGCGUGCCUAAUACAUGCGAGUCGAGCGAACAGAUGAGGAGCUUGCUCCUCUGACGUUAGCGGCGGACGGGUGAGUAACACGUGGAUAACCUACCUAUAAGACUGGGAUAACUUCGGGAAACCGGAGCUAAUACCGGAUAAUAUAUUGAACCGCAUGGUUCAAUAGUGAAAGACGGUUUUGCUGUCACUUAUAGAUGGAUCCGCGCCGCAUUAGCUAGUUGGUAAGGUAACGGCUUACCAAGGCAACGAUGCGUAGCCGACCUGAGAGGGUGAUCGGCCACACUGGAACUGAGACACGGUCCAGACUCCUACGGGAGGCAGCAGUAGGGAAUCUUCCGCAAUGGGCGAAAGCCUGACGGAGCAACGCCGCGUGAGUGAUGAAGGUCUUCGGACCGUAAAACUCUGUUAUUAGGGAAGAACAAAUGUGUAAGUAACUAUGCACGUCUUGACGGUACCUAAUCAGAAAGCCACGGCUAACUACGUG
RNAcentral lists this ribosomal RNA (497 nucleotides) under uncultured bacterium. RNAcentral's name for it is "partial 16S ribosomal RNA". It matches the Rfam family "Bacterial small subunit ribosomal RNA", at positions 28 to 507 of the family's 1533-position model. The record is from RNAcentral.